GACGAACGCUGGCGGCGUGCUUAACACAUGCAAGUCGAACGCUGAAGCCCUUCGGGGUGGAUGAGUGGCGAACGGGUGAGUAACACGUGGGUAAUCUGCCCUGCACUCUGGGAUAAGCCUUGGAAACGGGGUCUAAUACCGGAUAGGACACAUCGCCGCAUGGUGUGUGUGUGGAAAGUUCCGACGGUGCAGGUUGAGCCCGCGGCCUAUCAGCUUGUUGGUGGGGUGAUGGCCUACCAAGGCGACGACGGGUAGCCGGCCUGAGAGGGUGACCGGCCACACUGGGACAGAGACACGGCCCAGACUCCUACGGGAGGCAGCAGUGGGGAAUCUUGCGCAAUGGGCGAAAGCCUGACGCAGCAACGCCGCGUGGGGGAUGACGGCCUUCGGGUUGUAAACCUCUUUCGACCGGGACGAAGGAUUCGUUUGACGGUACCGGUAGAAGAAGCACCGGCUAACUACGUGCCAGCAGCCGCCGUAA
RNAcentral lists this ribosomal RNA (481 nucleotides) under uncultured bacterium. Its description in RNAcentral is "partial 16S ribosomal RNA". It matches the Rfam family "Bacterial small subunit ribosomal RNA", at positions 28 to 523 of the family's 1533-position model. The record is from RNAcentral.